ACAUAUAUGAUGAUAUUAGAAGGAUUCACUUAUAAAGUUGUAAGCAAGAAAAAGGGGAAGAAUUUGAUGUUAUCGUGUUAAUUUCUAAUCUACAUGUACUCAAGUAAGCAUGUGUUGCCACUGUGGGAUUUCUAUGAUAGUUUUGCAAAUUUGGUCGUAAUCAAAGUUUACUUUUGAGUCGUGUUCGCUACACACUGUAGCAUUGAGAACUUUGACAGCUUCAUUAAGAAUCCAUAAGAAACCUUUUUCUUUUUUCUUUAUCUAAAUAUAAAUUCUUUAUGAUGAAAUCCUACAAGUUGGAAAGUGGAAGUGCAAAAUUAGAGUGGAAGAGGAAAAAAAAAUUGUCCCAAGACUGAUGGUGAAAAGUUUUUAUUAGCCACUAGUUUGAUAUUUUAGGUUUGAUUGGGGAGAGGGCGUGACUAUAAUGAAAUUAAAAAAAAAUGAAAAAUUACAUCUUUGCUGAGUGUUGAUUUAAUUCAUCCCAUCUUGGGAUAUUGUUGAUUACUAUUAGAAAAAAAGAUACGACAAUAGUGGUGCUAUUUAUUCACACAUUUUGCUCUUUCUAUUUUUGAAUAACUAAAAGGUCAUCUCGACAACCUGCCUCAAUCUACCCCAAAUUUUCUCAAUUAUCUAUCUUUUUCCUCAUAAGAAUGGAAUCUUACUUUGUUCUUGAUUGUUGUUACAUUGAUGUCUUGUCAUAUGCUUGUUUUGGUUCCUAAUUGUCAAUAUAUAGAUCUCCUAACUGUGAAGUUUCUGGCAUAAUUUCAAGAAGCUCCAAUCUUUAAUAGGAUGGAGUUUCACGUUGUUUUUCAUUUUCUUAUUUUUCUUUUAUGAUAUAUUUGAGAGGGACUACUUGAUGAAGAUCUCGUGUAUUGAACUCCCUGAAACCAAAUCCUGCAUUUCCAAUUGUAUUCUAAGAGACUUUAGGUUGAGUGCGAUGGAGUCCUUUUUCGUAGCUUAAAAAAUUCCAAUUUCAAGAUGCAAAACUAGCUUAGCCUGCAUUGGCCUAAUACACAAUCUAAUUGCAGCUUGCUCGCUUUUUGUUGUUGUUGUGUGUUAGAGGAGUGUUGCAACUACUUUUAGGUUGUUGGGGGAUUUUGAUGUGUAGAAGGUUCUGUUGCAUCUGAAGAAAUCUUUUACAAUUUAUAAAUAAGAUUGUUGAUUUUUGGUUUGAUAUACACUUUGACAAAAUCUUCCUUUGUCCCAUUAUUUUUUUACAUCAAAACUCUCACAUAUAUAUUUUCUCUCUUCAAACUCUUGUUUAUACUUUGUCAUUCUCAGGAGAUGGAAAGGUCGGUAAUGAUGUCUCAUCUUUACAUUCAUCCAUGAUAUUUGUGAGCUUAAAUACAGACAGCUUCAUUUGGUUUAUCUUAGUUUGUUUAAUCUUUGACAUGCUCAUUUGGUUUUGAGAACUAAUAUAUGUAUAUAUUUUUACUUAUCAAAUAAAGUAACUAGGCAUAAAAGGAAAAUGAUAUAUGUAGUAUCUCAUAUAUGACAAUCAUAACUUUUAGUAUUAUUUCACUAGAAAUUGAAUCAGUGUUUAACUUGACUUGAGAUGUCUUAGGUUGUCACAGUUCAUUAUUAAGAGAACAUCUUUUGAAAUAUUAUGCCUUCCUGAUGUUUUGGGACUUAAUGAAACUUAUAAAAUCAUUGUCUCUCUUCCUAACAAAUUAGUGUUCUAAUUCAGUAUUCACUUUAAUGCUUUAUGUUUUCUUUGUUUUCCCCUGAUCCACAUCUUGUCUUUUGUUUUUUGAUGAUUUAUGGAUAUCCCAAAAAUAAAAUAAAAAAUGUUACUUUGGUGUGAUAUAGUAAAAUGGCUCGUAUCAACUGUUGAAUUUAGGUCUAUAGUCCCGUUUAACACACUUUUUUACUUGAGUCUUUGAAGAAAAUAAAUAAUCUAGAAGGUUUGGGCGAGAAAAAUUGGCAAGGUUCCUACAGUACAGACUAGCUUCUUACCAGACAGGUGUGAUAACUCUUCCUCUUGUCCUUAUACCUGAUAUGUGUGUAACUGUGCAUGUUUAUCUGUUGAUUCUUGCAUGCUGCAUUCCUAUAGAUGCUUGUUUGUUUGAUAAGAGCGUAAAAUAUAAUGUUUUCUCCUCUUAAUUAUUGCAUUGGUGUGAUUAUUUUAUACAAAAAUGUACUCAUUAUACUUAUGCUUUGAUUCAGGUUGCGUUUUGAUAGAAAAUGUGAAAAAUUUAGAAGAAAAGAGCGACAAAGGACCAAAAUGAAAGAAAGUGAAAGUUUAGGACCAAGCUGCAAAUAAUCUAAAGAUGAGACGGGCAAUGGAAUGAUGAUUCAAAAAAGCUAAGAGUCCAUUGGGUACAAUUAGAUGUCAAAAAAAGUUAAAUAAGAUCAUAAUAUAUUCACAAAUCAAAUUCCAACCGCAUAAAGAUUUUCCAAAUUUUUAGCCAGAGAUUGAAGUCCACUUUUGACCUAGUAAAUGUCAGGAUUUGGAAAAAGCUAUCUCGCAAAAUUAUAUCCCUUUGUGUUAUCUUUUCAACACACUUUGAAUUGCCUUAAUUGGACAUCGGGUGAGAAAGUUAUGGUCAAAAUACUAAAAGUAGUCGCACAGAAUAUUCUAGGCGAAAAUUUAGUUUCCUUCUUUUGUUCCACCUCUUUUGGAAAUAACUUGGUACACGAUUUUAAGCCCUAGACUGGAUAGAGAAUGCCUCUCUUCAUCCUCAUAUCAAUUUUCUUUGGUUUUUGGCUCAAGAGUUCCAUGAAGAACUAAAAUCCUUGGUGAAGCUUGGAAGGAACUUAUUGGAUUUGGGGAAAUCACAUCAAUUGCUCAUAUAAUUUGGUGUUUUAUUUUCAAACAAUUCAAGAUUUUAGACUUUUUCCUUUUGAAUUGAUUUUGAAAUUGGUUUAAUCUUUAUUAAAUCUUUCAUAGAUCCAAUCAUGUUUUUUCUAUUGUUUAAUCGAAAUUUUUAUUGAGUUGCAAUUUCAUUCAUGUUAUUGGUGGGUUAUUUAUGAUCUUAUGCUUGAAGUAUAUGGUUACUUUGGAUCUUACUCCAAUAAUAAUUGUGGCAAUGUGUUAAAAAGUCUAAAUCUUAGAAUUUCAAUUGGAACUAAAGUGAUCUUUACUGUUAAAUCUUCCGAUUAGAGGGUUGGGAUGAAAACCUCUAAUUGAGUAAUAAUGCAUGAAUUGUUGAUGUUGAUUGAUUCAAUCCAAUUGAGGAAAUUCCAAUGCUUCACUAAUUUCACAUAUUGAUAGUUAAAUUUCAUUCCAAAUUGAUAAACUAGUCUCAAAUAAUUCCCGAAACCGCUAAGCUUCUAAUCCUUUGAGCAUUUCCCAUCACCCUGUGGAAUCGACACCCCAAAGCUAUACUACAAUCACAGCGUUAUACUUUGGAUGUAAUCAAAUUUUGGCGCCGUUGUAGGGGAGACGGUACAAAUACUUGAAGGAUUCUCGAGCAAAAGGGUGACUUCAUCCCUUUUUACAUUCUUUUAGUUAGUUUAGUUUAUUUUCUUAAUUAUUUUGUUAUUUCUCAUUUAGUUUCAUUUUUUUGUGUUUUAUGAAUAGGCUUCGAGACGAGUGAGUGGGAUUUAUUGCGAG
Molecule: long non-coding RNA, 3556 nt
Filed under: Olea europaea (common olive)
Lineage: Eukaryota; Viridiplantae; Streptophyta; Magnoliopsida; Lamiales; Oleaceae
Description: long non-coding RNA (OEUR_LNC014285)
Source: RNAcentral